Molecule: ribosomal RNA, 484 nt
Filed under: uncultured bacterium
Lineage: Bacteria
Description: partial 16S ribosomal RNA
Rfam family: Bacterial small subunit ribosomal RNA
Source: RNAcentral
AUUGAACGCUGGCGGCAGGCCUAACACAUGCAAGUCGAGCGGAUGAAGGGAGCUUGCUCCUGGAUUCAGCGGCGGACGGGUGAGUAAUGCCUAGGAAUCUGCCUGGUAGUGGGGGAUAACGUCCGGAAACGGGCGCUAAUACCGCAUACGUCCUGAGGGAGAAAGUGGGGGAUCUUCGGACCUCACGCUAUCAGAUGAGCCUAGGUCGGAUUAGCUAGUUGGUGGGGUAAAGGCCUACCAAGGCGACGAUCCGUAACUGGUCUGAGGGGAUGAUCAGUCACACUGGAACUGAGACACGGUCCAGACUCCUACGGGAGGCAGCAGUGGGGAAUAUUGGACAAUGGGCGAAAGCCUGAUCCAGCCAUGCCGCGUGUGUGAAGAAGGUCUUCGGAUUGUAAAGCACUUUAAGUUGGGAGGAAGGGCAGUAAGUUAAUACCUUGCUGUUUUGACGGUACCAACAGAAUAAGCACCGGCUAACUUCGUG